CCUACGGGUGGCAGCAGUGAGGAAUAUUGGUCAAUGGGCGGAAGCCUGAACCAGCCAAGUAGCGUGCAGGAUGACGGCCCUACGGGUUGUAAACUGCUUUUAUACGGGAAGAACGCGCCGUACGUGUAGGGCUUUGCAUGUACCGUAUGAAUAAGGACCGGCUAAGUCCGUGCCAGCAGCCGCGGUAAUACGGAAGGUCCGGGCGUUAUCCGGAUUUAUUGGGGUGAAAGGGAGCGUAGGCCGCAUGGCAAGCGUGCUGUGCAAUGUCCGGGCUCAACCCGGGCCUUGCAGCGCGCACUGGCGUGCUUGAGUCCGCGGCUACCAGGCGGACUUCGUCUUGUAGCGGUGA
Molecule: ribosomal RNA, 349 nt
Filed under: uncultured bacterium
Lineage: Bacteria
Description: partial 16S ribosomal RNA
Rfam family: Bacterial small subunit ribosomal RNA
Source: RNAcentral